GGACAGAGAGACGCGGCAAAGGCAGGGCCGGGGAGGGGCCGUGUGGGGCCUGGUGGUCGGCAGAGGAAGGGUCUGUGCUCCUCCUGCGUGUGGUGGCACCGGAGCGCCUCCCAGUUCCUGGUGUUACCGCACCAGCCGCCUCCCAGUGAGCAUCUCCACGUGUGCCGACAACAGCUUUGUUGAGGUAGAACUUACCAGACUCACCUGUUAAAAGAGUGCAGUUUGGUCACUCUUAGUGGUUUGUAGAGUUGUGCAGCCGUCAUUGCAAUCCAGCGUUGCAGCAUUCCACAGCCCACAGGGACCCCCAGCCCCACAGUCCAGUGUUACAGCAUCCCGCAGCCCAGAGGGACCCUCAGCCCCAGACGGCCACUGACCGGCUUCCUGUCUUGGUUUGCCUUGUGCAGAAGGUGCGUGGAUGUGGGGCCACAGGACGUGGCUGGCUGGGUUUGCCUUGUGCAGAAGGUGCGUGGAUGUGGG
RNAcentral lists this long non-coding RNA (477 nucleotides) under Homo sapiens (human). RNAcentral's name for it is "HSALNT0226211". Lineage: Eukaryota; Metazoa; Chordata; Mammalia; Primates; Hominidae. The record is from RNAcentral.